RNAcentral lists this ribosomal RNA (492 nucleotides) under uncultured bacterium. RNAcentral describes it as "partial 16S ribosomal RNA". It matches the Rfam family "Bacterial small subunit ribosomal RNA", at positions 29 to 507 of the family's 1533-position model. The record is from RNAcentral.
AGUGAACGCUGGCGGUAGGCCUAACACAUGCAAGUCGAACGGCAGCACAGUAAGAGCUUGCUCUUACGGGUGGCGAGUGGCGGACGGGUGAGGAAUACAUCGGAAUCUACUUUUUCGUGGGGGAUAACGUAGGGAAACUUGCGCUAAUACCGCAUACGACCUACGGGUGAAAGCAGGGGAUCUUCGGGCCUUGCGCGAUUGAAUGAGCCGAUGUCGGAUUAGCUAGUUGGCGGGGUAAAGGCCCACCAAGGCGACGAUCCGUAGCUGGUCUGAGAGGAUGAUCAGCCACACUGGAACUGAGACACGGUCCAGACUCCUACGGGAGGCAGCAGUGGGGAAUAUUGGACAAUGGGCGCAAGCCUGAUCCAGCCAUACCGCGUGGGUGAAGAAGGCCUUCGGGUUGUAAAGCCCUUUUGUUGGGAAAGAAAAGCAGCAGGUUAAUACCCCGCUGUUCUGACGGUACCCAAAGAAUAAGCACCGGCUAACUUCGUG